GAUGAACGCUAGCUACAGGCUUAACACAUGCAAGUCGAGGGGCAGCAUGCUGAUAGCUUGCUAUCAGUGAUGGCGACCGGCGCACGGGUGAGUAACGCGUAUCCAACCUGCCCUUGUCCACGGGAUAACCCGGUGAAAACCGGCCUAAUACCGUAUGAGGUCACAAGCGGGCAUCCAACUGUGACGAAAGGUUUUGCGGACAAGGAUGGGGAUGCGUCCGAUUAGCUUGACGGCGGGGUAACGGCCCACCGUGGCGACGAUCGGUAGGGGUUCUGAGAGGAAGGUCCCCCACAUUGGAACUGAGACACGGUCCAAACUCCUACGGGAGGCAGCAGUGAGGAAUAUGGUCAAUGGACGGGAGUCUGAACCAGCCAAGUAGCGUGCAGGAUGACGGCCCUAUGGGUUGUAAACUGCUUUUGUGCGGGGAUAAAAGUGUGGGACGUGUCCCAUAUUGCAGGUACCGCAUGAAUAAGGACCGGCUAAUUCCGUGCCAGCAG
Molecule: ribosomal RNA, 497 nt
Filed under: uncultured bacterium
Lineage: Bacteria
Description: bacterial SSU rRNA
Rfam family: Bacterial small subunit ribosomal RNA
Source: RNAcentral